Molecule: non-coding RNA, 112 nt
Organism: Acanthosepion pharaonis
Lineage: Eukaryota; Metazoa; Mollusca; Cephalopoda; Sepiida; Sepiidae
Source: the annotation of a GenBank genome assembly
UUACGGUCACAUCAUGUAGAAACACUAGUUUCCGUAAGAUCACCGAAGUAAAGCAACAUUGUGCCUGGUCAGUACCUAGAUGGGUGACCACUUGGAAUACAAGAUGCUGUAA